GUGCAGCAGUCGAGAAUUUUUCUCAAUGGGGGCAACCCUGAAGGAGCGACGCCGCGUGGAGGAUGAAGGUCUUCGGGUUGUAAACUCCUGUCAUUUGAGAACAAGGUGCACAUGUUAACUGCAUGUGCAUUGAUAGUAUCAGAAGAGGAAGGGACGGCUAACUCUGUGCCAGCAGCCGCGGUAAUACAGAGGUCCCAAGCGUUGUUCGGAUUCAUUGGGCGUAAAGGGUGUGUAGGUGGCGCCGUAAGUCGGGUGUGAAACCUCGGGGCUUAACUCCGAAACUGCAUUCGAUACUGCGGUGCUUGAGGACUGGAGAGGAGACUGGAAUUCAUGGUGUAGCAGUGAAAUGCGUAGAGAUCAUGAGGAAGACCAGUGGCGAAGGCGGGUCUCUGGACAGUUCUUGACACUGAGACACGAAGGCCAGGGGAGCAAACGGGAUUAGAUACCCCCGUAGU
This 455-nucleotide ribosomal RNA is filed under the name uncultured organism. Its description in RNAcentral is "bacterial SSU rRNA". It matches the Rfam family "Bacterial small subunit ribosomal RNA", at positions 346 to 794 of the family's 1533-position model. The record is from RNAcentral.